GAUGAACGCUGGCGGCGUGCCUAAUACAUGCAAGUCGAGCGAACGGACGAGAAUCGUUCUUCUCUGAUGUUAGCGGCGGACGGGUGAGUAACACGUGGAUAACCUACCUAUAAGACUGGGAUAACUUCGGGAAACCGGAGCUAAUACCGGAUGAUAUUUUGAACCUCAUGGUUCAACAGUGAAAGACGGUCUUGCUGACACUUAUAGAUGGAUCCGCGCUGCAUUAGCUAGUUGGUAAGGUAACGGCUUACCAAGGCAACGAUGCAUAGCCGACCUGAGAGGGUGAUCGGCCACACUGGAACUGAGACACGGUCCAGACUCCUACGGGAGGCAGCAGUAGGGAAUAUUCCGCAAUGGGCGAAAGCCUGACGGAGCAACGCCGCGUGAGUGAUGAAGGUCUUCGGAUCGUAAAACUCUGUUAUUAGGGAAGAACAUAUGUGUAAGUAACUGUGCACAUCUUGACGGUACCUACUCAGAAAGCCACGGCUAACUACGUG
Molecule: ribosomal RNA, 497 nt
Filed under: uncultured bacterium
Lineage: Bacteria
Description: partial 16S ribosomal RNA
Rfam family: Bacterial small subunit ribosomal RNA
Source: RNAcentral